CACCAAACACGUAUUUUUAAAUACAAGAGGGGAGAAAACUCCCUUUUACGUUCAACGUGCCCUUGCAAUAAAAAUUUAUGUGUUACGACAUGUCGCAACUAACAAUUUAGUAAAAAUAAUUUGUUGAUAUCUUAUACGGUCUUUGGAUAUAAGUGAAAAUAAGCCAAAUUCAAAUAUUAGAAUAUGACCUUGACCUUUGACCUUGACCUAAUUUUCAUUUUUUUGGACCAAGGACCUCAAAUCAAAAGAUCCUAGGUC
Molecule: long non-coding RNA, 258 nt
Filed under: Mytilus galloprovincialis (Mediterranean mussel)
Lineage: Eukaryota; Metazoa; Mollusca; Bivalvia; Mytilida; Mytilidae
Source: RNAcentral